GCUGAUAUGGCUCAGUUGGUAGAGCGCACCCUUGGUAAGGGUGAGGUCCCCAGUUCGACUCAGGCUAACACACCA
This 75-nucleotide transfer RNA is filed under the name Enterobacter kobei. RNAcentral describes it as "tRNA-Thr". It matches the Rfam family "tRNA". Rfam says of the family: Transfer RNA (tRNA) molecules are approximately 80 nucleotides in length. Their secondary structure includes four short double-helical elements and three loops (D, anti-codon, and T loops). The record is from RNAcentral. Lineage: Bacteria; Pseudomonadati; Pseudomonadota; Gammaproteobacteria; Enterobacterales; Enterobacteriaceae.